AUAAAUAAAGGGGGACAGAGGGAGAGAGAAAACCUUAAGCAGAUUCCCUGCUGAGCAUGGAUCCCCACAUGGGGCUCAAUCACAUGACCCUGAGAUCAUGUCCUGGGAUAAAAUUAAGACUUGGACACUUAACUGACUGAGCACCCAGGUGCCCAUGAAAUCACUACUCUUCUAUUUCUUUCUCCCUAUUGCUGACUUCCAGUUAGGAAUUUACUGUUUAUAUAGGCCACAUUUAUGACAUCACAGAAUGUGUAACCAUAUGGAUAAUGUUGCCAUUGCCACAUUUUCUCUAAAUGAAUUUUUUAAGAAUGGAAGUCACGUUAUCAAAAGAUUUUAUGUGGGCCUUUAAAAAAAUGCACAAAGGAUUUAAGGAAAUUCUGGAAAAGACAAAAUCAUUAGGACAGAAAUAUAGACAAGAAAGAACAAAUUUUAGUGAGGACAUGGAGAGAAAGGGAUCCACUGGCUCCAUUGGUAGGAAUGUAAAUUGGUACACAUGUUGUGAAAAACAGCAUAAAGCUUCCUCAAAAAAUUAACAACUGAAUACCGUAUGAUCCAAUAAUCCUACCACUGAGUAUUUAGAAACCAAAAAUACUAAUUUGGAAGGAUAUAUGCAUCCCAAUUUUUAUUGAAAC
RNAcentral lists this long non-coding RNA (632 nucleotides) under Canis lupus familiaris (dog). RNAcentral's name for it is "lncRNA (ENSCAFG00000054737.1)". The record is from RNAcentral. Lineage: Eukaryota; Metazoa; Chordata; Mammalia; Carnivora; Canidae.